Long non-coding RNA from Daphnia magna, 565 nucleotides. RefSeq lists it as uncharacterized. The transcript is spliced from 2 exons. The record is from RefSeq and is a predicted model, not a curated record. Lineage: Eukaryota; Metazoa; Arthropoda; Branchiopoda; Diplostraca; Daphniidae.
CGUUAUUUUCACCAUGAAGGAGGAAUGGAGGAGGCGCUACUCGCAUAAGGCCCUGCAAAGAAAAGUGACGCUAUGCUGUUAUUGCCGUUGGCAGUAAAUUAGUUCUCAAUUUCUCACUAGGUGCGGAAGGGUAGUCUUACAUGUUGAAAUUUAGAUGUCGGUUGCCAUCGUUACGCAAGUUUAGUCUGCUGUCAGCCAAAAACAGAAAGCAUUUCAAACGUGAAAAUGUCUUGUUGUGUUUUAGGAUGUAGAACAGGAUAUAAGCCGACCAAAAAAUAUCCGAAUCCUUUAAAACAUUGUGUUUUUACCUUCCCUAAAGACGUGGAAUUGAGGGCAAAAUGGAUUGCUGCUGUUGGGCGAUCACAUUGGAAUCCAACUUGCAGAAGUGUAGUUUGUGCACGACAUUUUCUUUCCAGUGACUGUCGCGAAGAUAACAGAAUUAUUGCAGAUGAAUCAGUGAAUUUAUUUGACAGUUUUCGUAAACGUCUUUUGCCAACAGCCAUCCCAUCUGUAAACCUUACACCACAAGAAGAGAGUCAACCAAGGUUACCAACCAUUAGGAAAA